GUGUGCGUGUGCGCCUGCUGCUGGCACGGUAUGCUGGAACGGAUGCGUUGGCGAGCGUGCCUUUGUUGUGGUACGCGUUCGCUGGAGCGAGUGCCCGCUAUUCGGGAAGCACUGUGAUGCUCGUGGCGGUAUUUCCAUGAGGUAGGUGUCGGGAGCGGAUACGAGUCUAGCCGUACGAUCAACUUGCAGAGCGUUGGGUACUGUCCAGUGCAUCCUGGGAGCGGUACUGGGUGAUGCGGAAUCGAGGCCACCACCGAUACGCGAGCGCCAGUAUCUCGUUGGGCGGCACGCGGGCGUUGGUCGGUGUCAGCGCGCGGUUCAUAGGGUGCAACUGGGCAGACGGGCGGGUGCGGCGGCGGUCCCUAUGCGUUCGUAUGUAGGCUAUCGUUUGACUCCAGGUGGCUCUGUUUCGGACGGCGUUUGUCGGGGACUUCAGCGCACCUGCUCGUAAUUUUCGCUGAAGAUCGUCAUGGGAACGACUUCGAGUGGGUACGUUCCGCUCGCAGAGAAUGGGGGUUUUCUGAAACCCGACUGAGCACCUCACACUGCAACUGCGAUUCUUGAGUUCCUGUUGAUCUGGAUGGUUUCCAGUUGGAAAUCAAUACGGGGGACUCUUGUUGCCAAAUUGACAGUGGCGGCUGAUAGACAAGACCUGCAGAGUGGAUUCUACCGGGCCUUCGAUUCCCGUUCGGGAUUCCGCGCUGCAUGCGAAUACCCGGAGGCGACGACGUGACCGCCGCCUGGUAUGAGCCUGGUGUGACCCAGGCCAUAAAGUCAUCUGUUUGUGAUGCCCAUGCAGCAUGCGAUUCAAGGCGCUGUCAUGGCGCCCGCUGCCUACUACCGUCCCGAGUCGGAUACGCACCAAUCUGAGAUCACUGGAGUGCAGUGGCUGCCUCCGCGAUAUUCACGCGUGUGCUUUACGAACCAUCCUUUUCGGAUGUGCGAGCGCACGAUCGGCUGCACUGGAAAGCGAUAUUGUGUAACCACCGCAAGGAAGCCGCCCUUGUUAAACGCAAUGCGAUGCUGAAUACGACUGUCGAUUUCGCGAUCAAGCCAAUAUUGUGUAACCACCGCUAGGAAGCCGACCCUGUUAAAAGCGAUACCACACAGAAUAUGACUGUCGAUUUCGCGAUCAGGCCAAUAUUGUGUAACCACCGCAAGGAAGCCGACCCUGUUAAAAGCGAUACCACACAGAAUACGACUGUCGAUUUCGCGAUCAUGCCAUUCGUAGUGCCAUGCUCGGACUCUAGUGUGUAGCACUGUACUGCGCAAGGAUCGGGGUGAUCUCUUCCAUAUAUCUACACAUGACAUCGUAUGAAGCUGGUGCUUGUUCCGACGCACCACAUCUACAUGGAUAUAUAAACAAGGACGGCGUCAUGUUUUCCGAGGUCGAGUGCGCUCGGUGAAAGAGGAGAGCAUGUUCCCUUCAGGUUCCACACUGAUUGACAUCUGUGUCUCCCACAUGCAUACGCCAGUAUUUGAAAAUCUAGAGAGCGCACCAGUAUCGUGCCAGGAUGGUGUGUGCCUCUGAAACGGCGAAAGCCGCGCAGUGCCAUGCAGCUGGCAGUACCAUCUGGACACUGCGGACACAGGUGGCCGCGCACCGUCUUUUCCCGAGAGCGCAUCCCAUGAUGCGCCACGGACGCGGGAAAUCGCAGGUCGUGUCACGGAAACAGCAGAUUCCGUGACGCCGGCGAUGAACAGCGCAUGCGCGCAUCACGUAUCUAGGCCGCAGCGCGCGACGUGGUGCGCGGCAGAUGUGUAUGUAUGUGUCAUUAUUUCCCUGAAGCAGGACGCUGCACCCGCGAUGCGCUUCUAACGACGCAUCUGAUUUUAUUGAGACGAUGCGGUAAACACGA
This 1859-nucleotide unclassified non-coding RNA is filed under the name Cyanidioschyzon merolae strain 10D. Its description in RNAcentral is "hypothetical transcript". Lineage: Eukaryota; Rhodophyta; Bangiophyceae; Cyanidiales; Cyanidiaceae. The record is from RNAcentral.